GUCCCCGUGGAUCAAUGCAGCUCGCUCCACUUAAUUGUAAUUGUCGAUGGCUAAUUAAUGGAGAGACGGGCGUUCGAGUCGCCCCGGGGACA
Non-coding RNA from Mycena leptocephala, 92 nucleotides. The record is from the annotation of a GenBank genome assembly. Lineage: Eukaryota; Fungi; Basidiomycota; Agaricomycetes; Agaricales; Mycenaceae.